Non-coding RNA from Podarcis lilfordi (Lilford's wall lizard), 80 nucleotides. Lineage: Eukaryota; Metazoa; Chordata; Lepidosauria; Squamata; Lacertidae. The record is from the annotation of a GenBank genome assembly.
GCCUUAGCUCUGUGGCUGAGCACCUGCUUUUGAUGCAGAAGGUUGUAGGUUCGAGCCCCGAGGGCAUCUUGCAGGAGGCC